GGGUUGUGAGGUUAAGCGACUAAGCGUACACGGUGGAUGCCCUGGCAGUCAGAGGCGAUGAAGGACGUGCUAAUCUGCGAUAAGCGUCGGUAAGGUGAUAUGAACCGUUAUAACCGGCGAUUUCCGAAUGGGGAAACCCAGUGUGUUUCGACACACUAUCAUUAACUGAAUCCAUAGGUUAAUGAGGCGAACCGGGGGAACUGAAACAUCUAAGUACCCCGAGGAAAAGAAAUCAACCGAGAUUCCCCCAGUAGCGGCGAGCGAACGGGGAGCAGCCCAGAGCCUGAAUCAGUGUGUGUGUUAGUGGAAGCGUCUGGAAAGGCGCGCGAUACAGGGUGACAGCCCCGUACACAAAAAUGCACAUAUUGUGAGCUCGAUGAGUAGGGCGGGACACGUGGUAUCCUGUCUGAAUAUGGGGGGACCAUCCUCCAAGGCUAAAUACUCCUGACUGACCGAUAGUGAACCAGUACCGUGAGGGAAAGGCGAAAAGAACCCCGGCGAGGGGAGUGAAAAAGAACCUGAAACCGUGUACGUACAAGCAGUGGGAGCACGCUUCGGCGUGUGACUGCGUACCUUUUGUAUAAUGGGUCAGCGACUUAUAUUCUGUAGCAAGGUUAACCGAAUAGGGGAGCCGAAGGGAAACCGAGUCUUAACUGGGCGUUAAGUUGCAGGGUAUAGACCCGAAACCCGGUGAUCUAGCCAUGGGCAGGUUGAAGGUUGGGUAACACUAACUGGAGGACCGAACCGACUAAUGUUGAAAAAUUAGCGGAUGACUUGUGGCUGGGGGUGAAAGGCCAAUCAAACCGGGAGAUAGCUGGUUCUCCCCGAAAGCUAUUUAGGUAGCGCCUCGUGAAUUCAUCUCCGGGGGUAGAGCACUGUUUCGGCAAGGGGGUCAUCCCGACUUACCAACCCGAUGCAAACUGCGAAUACCGGAGAAUGUUAUCACGGGAGACACACGGCGGGUGCUAACGUCCGUCGUGAAGAGGGAAACAACCCAGACCGCCAGCUAAGGUCCCAAAGUCAUGGUUAAGUGGGAAACGAUGUGGGAAGGCCCAGACAGCCAGGAUGUUGGCUUAGAAGCAGCCAUCAUUUAAAGAAAGCGUAAUAGCUCACUGGUCGAGUCGGCCUGCGCGGAAGAUGUAACGGGGCUAAACCAUGCACCGAAGCUGCGGCAGCGACGCUUAUGCGUUGUUGGGUAGGGGAGCGUUCUGUAAGCCUGUGAAGGUGUGCUGUGAGGCAUGCUGGAGGUAUCAGAAGUGCGAAUGCUGACAUAAGUAACGAUAAAGCGGGUGAAAAGCCCGCUCGCCGGAAGACCAAGGGUUCCUGUCCAACGUUAAUCGGGGCAGGGUGAGUCGACCCCUAAGGCGAGGCCGAAAGGCGUAGUCGAUGGGAAACAGGUUAAUAUUCCUGUACUUGGUGUUACUGCGAAGGGGGGACGGAGAAGGCUAUGUUGGCCGGGCGACGGUUGUCCCGGUUUAAGCGUGUAGGCUGGUUUUCCAGGCAAAUCCGGAAAAUCAAGGCUGAGGCGUGAUGACGAGGCACUACGGUGCUGAAGCAACAAAUGCCCUGCUUCCAGGAAAAGCCUCUAAGCAUCAGGUAACAUCAAAUCGUACCCCAAACCGACACAGGUGGUCAGGUAGAGAAUACCAAGGCGCUUGAGAGAACUCGGGUGAAGGAACUAGGCAAAAUGGUGCCGUAACUUCGGGAGAAGGCACGCUGAUAUGUAGGUGAAGCGACUUGCUCGUGGAGCUGAAAUCAGUCGAAGAUACCAGCUGGCUGCAACUGUUUAUUAAAAACACAGCACUGUGCAAACACGAAAGUGGACGUAUACGGUGUGACGCCUGCCCGGUGCCGGAAGGUUAAUUGAUGGGGUUAGCGGUAACGCGAAGCUCUUGAUCGAAGCCCCGGUAAACGGCGGCCGUAACUAUAACGGUCCUAAGGUAGCGAAAUUCCUUGUCGGGUAAGUUCCGACCUGCACGAAUGGCGUAAUGAUGGCCAGGCUGUCUCCACCCGAGACUCAGUGAAAUUGAACUCGCUGUGAAGAUGCAGUGUACCCGCGGCAAGACGGAAAGACCCCGUGAACCUUUACUAUAGCUUGACACUGAACAUUGAGCCUUGAUGUGUAGGAUAGGUGGGAGGCUUUGAAGUGUGGACGCCAGUCUGCAUGGAGCCGACCUUGAAAUACCACCCUUUAAUGUUUGAUGUUCUAACGUUGACCCGUAAUCCGGGUUGCGGACAGUGUCUGGUGGGUAGUUUGACUGGGGCGGUCUCCUCCUAAAGAGUAACGGAGGAGCACGAAGGUUGGCUAAUCCUGGUCGGACAUCAGGAGGUUAGUGCAAUGGCAUAAGCCAGCUUGACUGCGAGCGUGACGGCGCGAGCAGGUGCGAAAGCAGGUCAUAGUGAUCCGGUGGUUCUGAAUGGAAGGGCCAUCGCUCAACGGAUAAAAGGUACUCCGGGGAUAACAGGCUGAUACCGCCCAAGAGUUCAUAUCGACGGCGGUGUUUGGCACCUCGAUGUCGGCUCAUCACAUCCUGGGGCUGAAGUAGGUCCCAAGGGUAUGGCUGUUCGCCAUUUAAAGUGGUACGCGAGCUGGGUUUAGAACGUCGUGAGACAGUUCGGUCCCUAUCUGCCGUGGGCGCUGGAGAACUGAGGGGGGCUGCUCCUAGUACGAGAGGACCGGAGUGGACGCAUCACUGGUGUUCGGGUUGUCAUGCCAAUGGCACUGCCCGGUAGCUAAAUGCGGAAGAGAUAAGUGCUGAAAGCAUCUAAGCACGAAACUUGCCCCGAGAUGAGUUCUCCCUGACUCCUUGAGAGUCCUGAAGGAACGUUGAAGACGACGACGUUGAUAGGCCGGGUGUGUAAGCGCAGCGAUGCGUUGAGCUAACCGGUACUAAUGAACCGUGAGGCUUAACCUUACAACGCCGAAGCUGUU
This 2932-nucleotide ribosomal RNA is filed under the name Escherichia coli. RNAcentral describes it as "bacterial LSU rRNA". It matches the Rfam family "Bacterial large subunit ribosomal RNA". Lineage: Bacteria; Pseudomonadati; Pseudomonadota; Gammaproteobacteria; Enterobacterales; Enterobacteriaceae. The record is from RNAcentral.